CAGGCUCUAGGGGGUGGGAGUCAGAUUUCACCUUUUCUCUCUCAUCUGGCAGCAGAAGCACCGACUCACAAGGAGGAUGAGGAUGUAGUCCAGAGGCUGCUGGGCUAUGUCACUCUGAAGGUGGUAUGUUGAAUUGUACAACUCUGCACAAAGACAGAAAGAAAAACAGAGUUUGCCUGCACCGAAAAACAGUCCCAGCUCUCCAAUGCAAACACAAUCUGACACAUGCUAAAAAUUGCCUGAAGCACUGGACCACGCAUGGCGUGUGAUUUGAGGCCUGUGAGAGUUGAGACCGCUGCUUUCAACUGACAGGGCUGGUUCUCCCGUCUCUCGCUGUCCUGAAUCCUGAGCUGCCCAAGAAACACUUAAGAUUAUUUUUAAGUCUUCAAAGAAGAAAAGCCGGAGUGGGCAGAGCGAGUACUGAACCUAAGUGGGCCUAAGCCGCCUGGGUUGGGGCCGACUCCGCUGGCACCCAGACCUUCUGAAGGACCUCGGAGCUGUCAUCGCAGGCGCCCAGGGUUUGUUUUCUGCCUUUUUGUGUUUUGUUUUUUUUUCCAGAGGGGGGUGUUUGUUUGUUUAGAGGGGGGGGACUUUAGGUUUUGCUCUUUGGGGCAGAUUCAUUCCGAGUCCUUCUUUGAGACCAAGCUAACCCCAUGCUGGGGUGGGGGGACCAACACCCGCACAACUGUCACAACAAAAGGCGCUACCCAAAGUGUGUCUACACGUCCGCGAAACCAGUGGCCCGACAUAGAGAUGCACUUUUGUGCCUCUCUAAUCUCGGACGUCCAUCUGGCCCUAGCGGGCGCGGGCUGCAAAAACGCGACAGGAGGGGCGGGGCGCGUGCACGAAUUCCGAGGCGCGGGCACGCGCGCCCGCUCUCCUUCACGUUCACCUUGACUGCAGGGGGGGCGGAGGGAUGGGACUGUGGUCCUCCCCCCUCCCGCCCCACUCUUCUCCCCACCCCCAGCUGCUGUCCUGGCUAGACGCCGGCGGGGAGCGGGGUUGUGGGGAGGCUGCACCCGCGCACCGGUCGCCGCAGCGGCCCGGCAGCCGCGCGCUCUGGGCAGUGAUGUCAACCGCAUCCGCCGCAGCGCCCCCCCAACCGCCCGCACCCUCCUCGCCCGCACCGCGGCCGGCCGGAACCCCAGCCUCGCGCCUAAGGCUCGGGGCGAGGAGCAAAGGGUGUGCGGAUGCCCUGGGUCCCCCAUUCCAUCUGCCGAGGCGUGAGAGAUCCGGAGUGGACCCACCGCGAUGUCACUCAGCGGUGCCGCCGCAGCAACUAGGGAAGGGGAAGGGGACUGGGAGAGGGGAGGAGGCGAUGGAGGUAGGUGUAGGUUUGACGUCCCGGGCUCCCGAGAGGACUCUGCCUCGGACUGGGGCCACCAGGGUGGCGUCAAGGAGCGGAGGGCACCGACCACUGCAGAUGCGGCGCGUGUGCGCGCGGCGAAAGCGCCCCCUUCUCCCGGGAUCCAAACGGAUAAACGGAAGUGUGGGUGAGUGUGGGGGUGCGAAUCGCCACCUGGGCCUUGGCUUUCCCGCUCUUCCGAGCGCUCCCACUUCUCACUUUCCCCAAAUCCGCAUUUUCCUUGGCACUGCUCUCCGGAGCACCGAGGAGAGGGAGGUGCCCGGGAGCAGUGAGAAUGACGUGUGCUGGUGCAGAGGGGGUGGGGGGCUGCGGGCCGGGCUCUGUGGACCGGCUCCUAAUCCUCUUGUUUUCGGAACUGUCAGCAGAUGUGGCUUCUCUUAGCUGAAUAAUCCUUUAAAGGAAUAAUAAUUUUUAAAAAGGACAUCGACCUCACCCAAGGAAGACUGUGAACGAGAUCAGGGCUUGUAGAUCUACUGCCUUUGGAUGCGCUGGCUGAAACGCUGCGGACUGCAACCAGGCUCUUAAAAAGGAGAACAAAAAGAUGAAGACCUUGGGCGGACGCCGGGACAAAGCACCUUGCGCUCUGGAGCACUAGUUAUCUCCUCGGCCGGAGGGCGCCUGCCCGGCGUGCGGACCUCUGAGGGAUCCUGCCACAUUAUAUACGAGUGACCUUUUAAAUCUACGCCCACCCUUUACCCGCGAGAGGACUGCAGCAGGCGAGUUCCGGAAGGCUGAUUCCCCAGAUCCCGACCCCGGACCGUGGCAGUUCGCCCCUCAGGCACGCCCGGCCAAACUGUGCCCGGACUCAGCGAUCAAGGAAAAAGCCUGGAAACGAAAGGAUGCGGGAGAACAAAGAGCCUUCGGAAGACGUCGCUGUUAUCUCAUUGUCUGUGUGAUUGGGGGAGCUGCGGUAGGGAGGAUGCUGUGGUCCUGUCCUCCCGGCGCUCCCCCACCCCCACCCCUCUCCCUGCUGUCAGUGCGCACGCACACGCGCCGCUUUUUAUUUCUCUUUCCUGGUUUUCUCAUUCCAUCUCCUCCCCACCCCCUUCCUUUCUUUCACCUUUCCUUCCUUCCUCCGGAGAAAGGCCUCUCUCUCCGUGUUCACAGCGGACCUUGAUUUAAAUGUCCAUACAAUUAAGGCACGCGGUGAAUGCCAAGAAUGGGGCUGGCUGAGCACCAUGGGUCCGCGAGGGCCCGCCAAGGAAGAAGGCACCGAGCGGAGGAGUCCUCGGCAGACCUCAGCGCUGCGGCUGCGGCUGCGGCUGCGGCUGCGGCUGCGGGCGCGGCACGGCUGGAGGGGUGGCUGGGUCCUGCGGCAGGCUGUCCCGCACUGGAGCCCUUGGGGUGGGGAGGUGUGUAGCUUGUGACAGGGGCUUAGAGGUGCAAACAGACUAAGGGAGGGAAACCGAAGUGAUUCUGUGACAGAAACAGAUUUGUGCAAACGCAGAUAUGGCUGGGGGGCGGGAGGAGAGUCGCCUUAAGCGCGUGGCCAAGUCCUUCUGUGCAUAUUUUUAUCCCGGCUCGGAUGCAUUGUACGUGGAUCGACGUCUUCCUCUGUGGCUGUGGUUUUGUUCUGGGCUUAGCUUUUGGUUUGCCCUUAAAAAUAUAUAUCUGGCAUCCAGGAGACUGGCAGACUGCCUCAGGGACUGGACUAUGGAUAUAUUGUUCUUGAGGGUUUGGGUGGGGGGGAGGAUGACCAUUUGGAAGGAGGGGGAAGCUGUUGGUUACCCUUUGCUGUAGAGCUGUGAGCACCCUACAGGCUUAAGGAAGUCAUUGGGCUAUGCAGACAAGAAGGAAUAAGCUCUUGGCCAGUUCCGGAGCUGCAUCAGGAUUGAGAGCCUGGCCAGGGCUCCAAGGAGCAUCUCGUGCCCUCCCUGCGCUGUUAUUGCAGUUUCAGGGUUGAUCCAAGAACUGCAGAGGAGAGACAUACCUACAGCAGGGAGGCAUUCCUUUUCAAACCUGAACAGGAGGAAAAAUUAGCAAGUGCACAGGUGGGUUCUAAGGAGUGUUUUGAAAGAUGCUAUCCAAGAACAGAAAAGGGUUAAGCCUCCAUCAUCCUGAAGAACCUGCUGCCUGAAUCAGGCCUUGGUCCCCAUCACAGCCCUCGAGCCUCAGCUGGUCCUAGAGACCCCUAUCAUAGUCCCAUCCCAUCUCCAGCUCAGCAUUAACAGCCAAGCCACUGCGCAUGGUGGCAGAACCAAAACUCUAAUUUCCAGGUGGAGAAACUGGAGGAGGGGCAGUUGAAGGAAGAGCAGGGAAAGGAGGUUAAGAGGUGGACCUUCCUACCCAGAAAGCCUGCUGCCUCCCCUCACCCAUAUGGCAGAGGCCUGCCUUUGCAAGGCCAAGCCCAAAGGGAUGCUCAGGAGUUUGAUUUGAUUCCUGAUACAGUAAUCAAGGCCCAAAGAGUGUCAGUUCAAGCUAACUGAGGACUUCUUCUCUCCAAAGCCUCCUCAGUCUAGCCCAGUAAAUAAACUAGUAUUCAAGGAUACCAUGGAUGGGCACGGCUCCCUGCCUCAUUUCCUCACUAGUAUUUGAGUACCUACUAUGCACCUAUCACUGCAGGUAUUCAUCUUAAGUUCUUCAUUUGCCCUCCUAAGGGAGUGUUCCGGAGUCAGGCCAAGAUCAAGUGCACUGCACCCCACCUAGGCAUUAACAGAACCACUUCUGGCUCUACAGAAAUGGGCCACAAGCUCCUCUGCCCUGCAGAGGGCAAGCUGCAGUGCACACCCUGCAGACUGCAGUGGCUGUGCUGCGGCUGAGACCCAGGAGGCAAGCUUGGCUACAGGACAGAAAGGGUUGUCAGAGGAGGCACAGUAGCCAUUGCCUUCAAAAUACCUUCCUGGAAGCUAGUGUCUCCCUGGUCCUGGUGUGCCUACCACCCUUUCUGAAAAGGCUGGUGAAGAGAAGAGCCAGUGUGACAUGCCUCAUUGGAGAGACCAUCCCCUCAUCCUCCCCUACGCUCUCUAAGAAGACUGUUCCUGCGGUUCUUCUAAGCAUGGUCUAAGCCUCUGAUAACCAAACCCCUUGCCCCACAAAUGUGCACAUUAGUGAGCCUCUGCUCCUAACUGCUUCCCCGCAGUUCCUUCAGACAUUGCUAUAUCCUUCUCUAAUGUGUCCUCUGGUAUAAGCUCCCAAUGCCUCCCCGAGUAAUGCUCCUUUUAGGAGGAAAUCUAACACGCUUCACCCAGACAGCUUCUACCGCAAGGCCUGCAGGGUUUCUGCUGCAGAGACUCUGCCAUGGGAGGGUUUUUUUUUUUUUUUUUUUUAAUUACGUAAACUCUUGUUCCAGAAAGCUUUAAUGUGUGGGAGUGUUCUGGGUUGGCUGGUCUGUGCGCAGCGAUGUAUUUGCCUGAGUCCACCAGGUCUCAUUAUAGAAUGGUUUUUUAUGUGGGGUUUUAAUGGCCUUCUCUGUCCCAUGUGUAAUUUCAAGUUCACUUUUGUGUUCACCAAAUGAAGUAUCAGGGUCAAUGUGAGCUGCCUUCCUUCCUCUAAAUCGAGGGCCCAUUUAUACCCAGCAUUACUUAUGCAAGGAACCUAAAGAUUUCUGCUCUUUGAAGAUAUUUGAUUCCCAGCAUCUCCUCUACCUAUUUUAGCCCUUCUAAUGGCAUCUUAUGGCUAAAAUGAAAGAGGAAACAGUUUUUAAAAUGUAGACCCAGUUGACUCAGUUUGCUGAAUGAAUAUAGUGAGGAAGCCCUGGGUAGCUAUACCUGCCCAACACUUUCGAUGGAUUUAGGAAUGUAACAAAGGAAAAUCUGCCAAUAUUCUUUCCCCUGCCAGAGACAGACAGCAGGGGUGGGGGGGAAUGACCCUUAAUGGAAGUAAAAGUAAACACUAAGUUACUUCUGUAACCAAGGAGGAUGGGAGCUUUUGAGAAUGCACAAGGGGCUGUAGCCAGAGAAAUUAAUACUAGGAGAAGGGUAUGUCCUCAGGAGGCAUUUGUCAGUACACAUGCAUAUAUUCAUUUUCACACAGUACCCCUUGCUGACAUUUAUAGCAAGGCAACUGACCACACCAGAAGUCUACCCAUCUAUACUGUCUCCACAGGGAAAUUUUCUUUUUCCCACUAUUAAACUUACAUAAUAUCCGUCCUCCAUUCCAACCUUAGAUGCAGUCCUCUGGGGGCAGCUGCAAAGCUUCUCCCUGGGACAGAUGGAGUUCCCCACCCCCUCCUCAUCUACUCUGUGGGUGGUUUAGAGCCCCAUGAGUCAACAUGGGCUGACUGUGGAGUGGUGGUGGUGGUGGUGGUGUGUGUGAGUGUGUGUGUGUGUGAUGUGGCUGCUGAUUCACACUGACAAGUGUGUCAAUAAUGAGAAUUACGUUACCUAAUAAAGAUUUUUCUUCUAAAUUCCAUCUACAAUUCUUUCAUUGGGUGUUUUUGCCAAGUCUUAAUUUGUUAAAAAAGUAUAUUUCAUUGCAUCUCAAAUGCAGAUAUGGAACAAGAAGAAGGAGUUCAAAUGGAAUUUAUUGGAGUUGAAGCUGCUUUAUACUGGAUCUGCAAGUGGCCUGGAGACAUUUUUGAAGCACCAAAUUUAGAUGGGGGUGGGAGAAAUAGGCCUUAAGAAAAAGUAAUGUUGGGGUCAGGAAGUGUCAGAAUUUCUCAGUAGGUAGGUCCGCCUUUUGUUUUCUUAUCCUCUGGUCACAAAAUGGAAACUGUUGUCCAGGAAUACGGGCCUGCGUCAUGGCUGCAGAAGUCCAAAACCACCUCCAGGAACACAAGGAGCUUUGCUCUCCAAAGUGGGGUGUGGGGUCAUUUUAAAUUCAAUCUAUCUGUUGCUUAAACAGACACAAUACAAAAAUUUGAGACCUGGGACCUAGGAGGCAACACGACCUUAUUUUGCUUCUUGGUGUCACGUUUUCAAGGCGUUCUGCUGGCGAGAGCCUGAGUUCCACAGCCCGCAGAGGCUCAGGGCUGCCUUCGGCCUGCGCCCAGGCGCACCUAGGCCACACUAGAGGCUUUCUCCCUCCUCUUUCUUUUUUUUUUUUUUUUUUUCUAAUGAACUUGAGCCAUAGCAAGGCAGAGAGGAGCAGCCACUGGUUUCUCUUUUCUUUUUCGGCUCCUGUUUUCUCCGUUGUGACUUUUUUCUUUUUUCCUUUCCUGAAUCAGCUGGAUGUGGGACUCCUGAGAUUUGGGUCAUUUGAGUUCCCUAAGGUUUGGACUGUUCCCAGGUGCAUGUAGAUCUGAAUGUGUUUCAGCCCCGUUCCAGAAUGGGCCCCAAGCCAAGUCCUAAGACUCCAGCUACACAGAGAAGUCAGGGUGCCCUCUGCACGGGACCACCAACAGUGGGCACAGUCCUGCAGCGCCCACAUUGCCCCCUUUUCCACGCACCUGGGUUUCCCCAACUUCACUCUGGAGCAGUCACCACUGACCUUCAACUUUAGAGAAUGAGGAACAUUAAGCUAUAUGGAAAGGAAUGAGAAGAAGAAACCGAAAGACCAACCUGCUGGGCAGACGGCUUCUUGCCAGAGUAGCUGGGACCAGGAAUGCUGAGGAACAAGUGUCCACUCACUCUCAUUUCCUUCCGGGGUAGGAAAGAUGGAGGUUUCCAACACCACCAUUCAAAAGAGAAGCUGGGUUCCUGCUUUGGAACGGAAGGAGGGAAGCAUCUGCCAUGCCUGACCUGAGGGGAUCAGGAGCUACCCGGAGUCCUUCCAGUCUCUUUUCCUCUGUGAAUUUGUCUGUGGGCACUGGGUUUGUUCUGAUCCUCUGGUAGCUAACACCGGAAAAGCACCAUCUCCACCCAACAUUAUGGUGCAAUGGGACCAUAUUCAUGGUGCAAAUAAACAUCUUAACAUCUUU
Ictidomys tridecemlineatus (thirteen-lined ground squirrel) is the source of this 7163-nucleotide non-coding RNA. The record is from RefSeq and is a predicted model, not a curated record. NCBI's taxonomy places the organism in Eukaryota, Metazoa, Chordata, Mammalia, Rodentia, Sciuridae.